CACGCCGUAAACGAUGAGUGCUAGGUGUUGGGGGUCAAACCUCGGUGCCGCAGUUAACGCAUUAAGCACUCCGCCUGGGGAGUACGUUCGCAAGAAUAAAACUCAAAGGAAUUGACGGGGACCCGCACAAGCAGCGGAGCAUGUGGUUUAAUUCGAAGCAACGCGAAGAACCUUACCUGGACUUGACAUCCCUCUGACCGUUUCUUAAUCGAGAUUUUCCCUUCGGGGACAGAGGAGACAGGUGG
RNAcentral lists this ribosomal RNA (245 nucleotides) under uncultured Alkaliphilus sp. RNAcentral describes it as "partial 16S ribosomal RNA". It matches the Rfam family "Bacterial small subunit ribosomal RNA", at positions 796 to 1041 of the family's 1533-position model. The record is from RNAcentral. Lineage: Bacteria; Bacillati; Bacillota; Clostridia; Peptostreptococcales; Natronincolaceae.